UGGGGAAUAUUGGGCAAUGGGCGAAAGCCUGACCCAGCAACGCCGCGUGAAGGAAGAAGGUUUUCGGAUCGUAAACUUCUAUCCUAGGUGAAGAUAAUGACGGUAGCCUAGAAGGAAGCCCCGGCUAACUACGUGCCAGCAGCCGCGGUACUACGUAGGGGGCAAGCGUUGUCCGGAAUGAUUGGGCGUAAAGGGCGCGUAGGCGGCCUUCUAAGUCCGAGGUGAAAGUCCUGCUUUUAAGGUGGGAAGUGCAUUGGAAACUGGAGGGCUUGAGUGCAGGAGAGGUAAGGGGAAUGCCCGGUGUAGCGGUGAAAUGCGUAGAGAUCGGGAGGAACACCAGUGGCGAAGGCGACUUACUGGACUGUAACUGACGCUGAGGCGCGAAAGUGUGGGGAGCAAACA
Molecule: ribosomal RNA, 402 nt
Filed under: uncultured prokaryote
Description: bacterial SSU rRNA
Rfam family: Bacterial small subunit ribosomal RNA
Source: RNAcentral